RNAcentral lists this ribosomal RNA (773 nucleotides) under uncultured bacterium. Its description in RNAcentral is "bacterial SSU rRNA". It matches the Rfam family "Bacterial small subunit ribosomal RNA", at positions 58 to 836 of the family's 1533-position model. The record is from RNAcentral.
CUUAUCAGCAGAAGCAGCCAGCUUGCUGGAAGCGGAAGAGGGAAAGGCUUAGUGGCGGACGGGUGAGUAACGCGUGGGUAACCUGGCCCAUACAGGGGGAUAACACUUAGAAAUAGGUGCUAAUACCGCAUAACAACAGAAAGCGCAUGCUUUUUGUUUGAAAACCAAGGUGGUAUGGGAUGGACCCGCGUCUGAUUAGCUGGUUGGCGGGGUAAAGGCCCACCAAGGCGACGAUCAGUAGCCGGCCUGAGAGGGUGGACGGCCACAUUGGGACUGAGACACGGCCCAAACUCCUACGGGAGGCAGCAGUGGGGAAUAUUGCACAAUGGGGGAAACCCUGAUGCAGCGACGCCGCGUGAGUGAAGAAGUAAUUCGUUAUGUAAAGCUCUAUCAGCAGGGAAGAAAAUGACGGUACCUGAGUAAGAAGCCCCGGCUAACUACGUGCCAGCAGCCGCGGUAAUACGUAGGGGGCAAGCGUUAUCCGGAUUUACUGGGUGUAAAGGGAGCGUAGACGGCAGUGCAAGUCUGGAGUGAAAGGCGGGGGCUCAACCCCCGGACUGCUCUGGAAACUGUACGGCUGGAGUGCAGGAGAGGUAAGUGGAAUUCCUAGUGUAGCGGUGAAAUGCGUAGAUAUUAGGAGGAACACCAGUGGCGAAGGCGGCUUACUGGACUGUAACUGACGUUGAGGCUCGAAAGCGUGGGGAGCAAACAGGAUUAGAUACCCUGGUAGUCCACGCCGUAAACGAUGAUCACUAGGUGUCGGGGGUUAAAGA